This is a long non-coding RNA of Brassica napus (rape), 673 nucleotides long. RefSeq lists it as uncharacterized. The record is from RefSeq and is a predicted model, not a curated record. The transcript has 2 exons. Lineage: Eukaryota; Viridiplantae; Streptophyta; Magnoliopsida; Brassicales; Brassicaceae.
GGAACAAUGAAUCUGCAAAAGCAGAGUAAUGAUCAAAUACUGAAUCAACAAGUUGGGUUGGGCUAAAGUUUUGGCCCAAUAAGAGUGCUCUGUCGGUUGCUCAUCAUCGCCACCGUCUAAGUUCCUCCGUUUCCAGGCGAAAAUGUCACGGAAGAAGCAAGUUAUGGCGGCGGGAAUGGUUGCCGUGGUGGCAGGAUCGCAUCCGUGGAACUCAUUGAUCCAAGCUCUACUUCUGCUAUCACUAUCGUUUCCGGCGGCGCUUACAGACCAGGAGAUAUCGUCGCGAUGAGCAAGAUGAGGCAGCAUAUUAGCUGAGCUGAGCUGAGCUUACUAUCUAAUUUGAAGGCUCUCUUGUAGUUCGAGAACGACUUGGGAUGAUCUUCGCUGUUAAUCGCGAGGUGUUAUGAUUGAUCCCCAUAGCGAAACCUAUAUGGCCUACACUGGAGCAGAUCCUUAUUAAGAUGUGAGAUUACUGCUCAGAUUAUAAUCUUGUAGGGUGCUUUGAGUUCUGUGGCCAUGUUAGUGGAUAGUAUCUAGCAAUUUCUUGUUGUUGUUGCUCAAGUAGCGCUAAUGAUGAAGACACAGUGAUGAUUCUGUCUCAGACUGUUUUUGCAGAUUGUGUUCUUAUUAUCUAUUUUCUGCUGUUGAAUGUGGAGUACGAUGUUGCUUUGUC